This 223-nucleotide non-coding RNA is filed under the name Megasphaera sp. Its description in RNAcentral is "T-box sequence". It matches the Rfam family "T-box leader". From Rfam's summary of the family: Uncharged tRNA acts as the effector for transcription antitermination of genes in the T-box leader family. T-boxes are found upstream of many aminoacyl-tRNA synthetase genes and some amino acid biosynthetic genes usually in Gram-positive bacteria. Lineage: Bacteria; Bacillati; Bacillota; Negativicutes; Veillonellales; Veillonellaceae. The record is from RNAcentral.
AUAAAAGUAGUGAUGGAAAAAAGUAGUAUUGUAAAUAUCUUUACAGAGAGCUGUUGGCUGGUGUAAAACAGUAGGUGAUACAGUGUGAAGUUCUUUCCUGAACUGUAAGGCUGAAUGUUAUUUUGAUUAGUAGGCUGAACCGGGGUGGCACUCGUUAGAUAUGCCAUGAGUUGAUCUGAUUCAAGAUAAAUAGGGUGGUACCGCGGAGCAAUCCGUCCCUCGG